CCUACGGGAGGCAGCAGUGGGGAAUCUUGCGCAAUGGGCGAAAGCCUGACGCAGCAACGCCGCGUGCGGGAAGAAGGCCUUCGGGUUGUAAACCGCUUUCAGCAGGAACGAAAAUGACGGUACCUGCAGAAGAAGGUGCGGCCAACUAUGUGCCAGCAGCCGCGGUGAUACAUAGGCACCAAGCGUUGUCCGGAUUUAUUGGGCGUAAAGAGCUCGUAGGCGGUUCAGUCAGUCGGGUGUGAAAACUCUGGGCUUAACCCAGAGCCUGCACCCGAUACUGCUGUGACUAGAGUUCGGUAGGGGAGCGGGGAAUUCCUGGUGUAGCGGUGAAAUGCGCAGAUAUCAGGAGGAACACCGAUGGCGAAGGCACCGCUCUGGGCCGAAACUGACGCUGAGGAGCGAAAGCAUGGGUAGCAAACAGGAUUAGAUACCCUGGUAGUCCAUGCCGUAAACGUUGGGCACUAGGUGUGGGUUCCAAUCAACGGAAUCCGCGCCGCCGCUAACGCAUUAAGUGCCCCGCCUGGGGNGGUACGGUCGCGAGACUAAACUUAAAGUAAGUUAGACGGCGUGAGACGUGCCGAACGGACGACGACGAGGGAGGUAGG
This 605-nucleotide ribosomal RNA is filed under the name uncultured bacterium. RNAcentral's name for it is "bacterial SSU rRNA". It matches the Rfam family "Bacterial small subunit ribosomal RNA", at positions 338 to 1415 of the family's 1533-position model. The record is from RNAcentral.